UGCUGAGGCUUAUUAUGUUGGUCACCACGGC
Molecule: non-coding RNA, 31 nt
Filed under: Homo sapiens (human)
Lineage: Eukaryota; Metazoa; Chordata; Mammalia; Primates; Hominidae
Source: RNAcentral